Molecule: transfer RNA, 77 nt
Filed under: Vibrio parahaemolyticus
Lineage: Bacteria; Pseudomonadati; Pseudomonadota; Gammaproteobacteria; Vibrionales; Vibrionaceae
Description: tRNA-Val
Source: RNAcentral
GGGUCCGUAGCUCAAUUGGUUAGAGUACUACCUUGACAUGGUAGGGGUCGGCGAUUCGAGUUCGCCCGGACCCACCA